UAGAUUGAGGCCAGUUUUGGGUGUUUAGCUGUUAACUAAAGUUUCGUAGGUUUGAGUCCUGCCAAUCUAG
This 70-nucleotide transfer RNA is filed under the name Cricetus cricetus (black-bellied hamster). Its description in RNAcentral is "tRNA-Asn". It matches the Rfam family "tRNA". From Rfam's summary of the family: Transfer RNA (tRNA) molecules are approximately 80 nucleotides in length. Their secondary structure includes four short double-helical elements and three loops (D, anti-codon, and T loops). The record is from RNAcentral. Lineage: Eukaryota; Metazoa; Chordata; Mammalia; Rodentia; Cricetidae.